UUAAAUAAUGCAAUAGCGCAUGGGGAAUGGGUGAAUACAUUAUUUCAAAUGUUUUGUGGUAUUUGGAGUUCUUCGCAUUUGCUGUUACAUUGAUAGCAUUCUUCUGGUUUGUUUUAUAUUUAGCCAGUCUGAAUUACGUGAAUUACGCGCCUAAAUACGACUUUAGGAAGAAGUAUAUGGCAGAUGACACCUGGUUGCUACAAAGUUAAACGUAAUGGUAAUAAUAGACGAACAAUCUUUUAAUUCCUAGUCCUGGAAAAGCACCCAAACCUCGUGUGAGAUCCCCGAGAAGAAAGGUUCUUGUUGACACUCAACCUGUAUGUUGCGACCCUGGAUGUGUCUGGUUUUGUAGCGUUAUAGUCAGCAUCGUGACAGUAGGAAUGUGUUACUACCUGGCUUACACACUCCUGGCAGAUACGAAGCUCAGGUUUGCUAUAUUUAUGCCCUAACAGCACCGAGACAAGACAUUCAAAUGGAAGAAAGCGAUAAAUUCUGUUGGUGUAAC
Long non-coding RNA from Spodoptera litura, 505 nucleotides. RefSeq lists it as uncharacterized. The record is from RefSeq and is a predicted model, not a curated record. NCBI's taxonomy places the organism in Eukaryota, Metazoa, Arthropoda, Insecta, Lepidoptera, Noctuidae.